CCUACGGGGGGCAGCAGUGGGGAAUAUUGGACAAUGGGGGGAACCCUGAUCCAGCCAUGCCGCGUGUGUGAAGAAGGCCCUCGGGUUGUAAAGCACUUUCAGUGAGGAAGAACGCCUGGUGGUUAAUACCCAUCAGGAAAGACAUCACUCACAGAAGAAGCACCGGCUAACUCCGUGCCAGCAGCCGCGGUAAUACGGGGGGUGCGAGCGUUAAUCGGAAUUACUGGGCGUAAAGCGCGCGUAGGUGGCUUGAUAAGCCGGUUGUGAAAGCCCCGGGCUCAACCUGGGAACGGCAUCCGGAACUGUCAAGCUAGAGUGCAGGAGAGGAAGGUAGAAUUCCCGGUGUAGCGGUGAAAUGCGUAGAGAUCGGGAGGAAUACCAGUGGCGAAGGCGGCCUUCUGGACUGACACUGACACUGAGGUGCGAAAGCGUGGGUAGCAAACAGGAUUAGAUACCCCUGUAGUC
Molecule: ribosomal RNA, 465 nt
Filed under: Vreelandella stevensii
Lineage: Bacteria; Pseudomonadati; Pseudomonadota; Gammaproteobacteria; Oceanospirillales; Halomonadaceae
Description: partial 16S ribosomal RNA
Rfam family: Bacterial small subunit ribosomal RNA
Source: RNAcentral